Molecule: unclassified non-coding RNA, 421 nt
Filed under: fungal sp.
Lineage: Eukaryota; Fungi
Description: partial internal transcribed spacer region
Rfam family: Eukaryotic small subunit ribosomal RNA (bases 1-46)
Source: RNAcentral
AAGUCGUAACAAGGUUUCCGUAGGUGAACCUGCGGAAGGAUCAUUAAUACGCUUUUGUUUGUAACAAAACAAAACGUUUAAAACUCCAAAAUAAAUAGUGGAAAUAUAACUUCCGGAUGCGAAUGUUGGGGAACUGAGUAAAAUUGGUUCUUUUGAAAAGGACUUCAAGCAAUUGACACUUCAGAGUAGAGCAGUGAGGUGAAAUUCUCGUUUUCGAGCGAGAGUUUGGUUCUGAAAAACAUUUGUAUCCGGUUAUCAACAUCUGUUCUACAAACUACAAAAUAUCAAACAAUAAACCCCAUGUAAAACAACUUGAACUAAACAUGUUUUUGUUGUCUAUUCUUGCACUUGUGUGAGAAGAUACUACAAAGAAAAAACCUGAACUUAAGAACAACUCUUAACAACGGAUAUCUUGGUUCUC